This 192-nucleotide ribosomal RNA is filed under the name uncultured bacterium. Its description in RNAcentral is "partial 16S ribosomal RNA". It matches the Rfam family "Bacterial small subunit ribosomal RNA", at positions 1311 to 1500 of the family's 1533-position model. The record is from RNAcentral.
UUCGCCUUCAUGAAGCCGGAAUUGCUAGUAAUGGCAGGUCAGCAUACUGCCGUGAAUACGUUCCCGGGCCUUGUACACACCGCCCGUCACACCAUGAGAGUUGGGGAUACCCGAAGCCUGUGAGCCAACUUUUUUAAGAGGCAGCAGUCGAAGGUAGAAUCAAUGAUUGGGGUGAAGUCGUAACAAGGUAAC